GUUUGAUUACAUUUUCUUGUAGCUAUUAAUUAUAAAACCUGAACAACAACUGUAUAUACCUGUAUUCCUUGAAAGCAGUGGAGCGUGACUGAAAGCAGACAGAAACCUAAGGUGAGUUUACCUUUGAAAGAUGGCAGCAGCAAUAGAUUAGAAUUGUGAGUUUGUGAUUUUUCUUUCUUGAAGGUGCUUCCCAAACCUAGAAUUCCUGUGGCAUAUACAACACCCUUACUGGCUCAAGGUGGCAGAGAAUCUGGACCAUUAGGGAUGGAAGACUCAAAAGUAAGAGAAUCCCAGAAGGGAUGGGCCUCCAAAUCUGAAUAUAUAUUCUGCCGAAAAAUUCCGGCUGAUCACUAUACUACACACAAAUAGGAGAGACCCUGGGGCCCAGUUAAAAAAAAUAGGCAGAAACAAUAAGAUAGUGGUCCACUAAAUGAAAGAAAUGAGCUGGGUGAUGUUUGUGAAUUUGCUACGAUUUAGACUGAAGGAAUUCCUUAAUCCAUCACAAUUCAAGUGGAGGAAAUCUGAAAAAGUAUUAGCUUAUCAGAGAAUAAGCUCUGGAUUGGAAGAUGGAAAUUCAUGAGGAUGUCCUGGGAACAAGAGAACCACUGAGAGGGUUUGCUCCAAAGGCAAAGACACAAAGGGGGACUGUGACACAGGUGGCUAAAACUCUGAGAGAAACCUCACUGGUCUUACCACAAAGAGAGGGAAAAGGGCUUCUGCAGGUCAGAGAGUGUGGGGGAAUACCAGAGUGGAGAUGGUUAAAGAAGAUGUUCUACUAAUUUCUGUGUUUGAGGCCCCACAAAUAAUAGAUUCACUCUUGAGCUGCACAUGCAGAGGCCAAACCCAAGGUAGCAUAGAAAAAGCUUUGAGAACUACACUAUAUUUAAACCACUACAUAAAUUUCAGAAAAAUCCCUGAGUAGUACAAGUAUGGUACAGAUACAAGGCUGCAUAGCACAGACUUUGAUAAUUGAACUAUGAACUUAGAUUAAAACCACAGUCUUGGACUAUCUCCUAAGUGGUACAUGUGUGAAAGAAACCAAACAUAGCCUAGUAAAGUCUUUGAAAACUGAACGAGAUGUAGACUAUCACCCACAGAACGCAAGGCAGAACUCACAAACUAAACUUAACUAAGUUGAUUACCUGAUAAAACAAAUGAAAAAAAAAAUCAACAUUCUCCAGAGCCCAGAAUCUACACAGCAAAAUAUUCAAAAUGCCCUAGAUAAAAUCCAGCAUUAGUACUUAGAAAGAAAAAGGAAAAUGUCACCAAUUCUCAAGGGAAAUGACAAUCAACAAAUGUCAACUGCGAAAGCCCAGAUGUUUGAAGUGUCAGCCAAAGAGUUUAAAUCAACUAUUAUAACUCUGUUUCAUGAGGUAAAGGAAAACACGUUCGAAAUGAAUGGAAAGAUAGAUGUUCUCAGCAGAGAAAUUAGAAAAUAUUAAAAUAACCUAUUUGAAAUUUUAGAAAUAAAAAAUGCAAUUACCAAAAUAAAAAAUUAUCUGGGCGAUCUCAAUAGCAGAACAGAGAUGACAAAGGAGUCAGUGAACUUGAAGGGAGGCUAAUAGAAAUCAUCCAAUAUGAGAAACAGUAAGAAAAAUGGCUGGAACAAAUAGCCUUAUUGGAUAAUAGGAUAAGGUUUCACAUACAGAGCACUGUAGUUCCAAAAAGAGAAGAGAAAGAGAUUCGUGCAGAAAAAAAUUUUUUUGAAGAAAUAGCGCUCAGAAACUUCCAAAAUCUGAUAGACUACAUCAAUGUACAGAAUCAAUAUGCUCAGAAAACAUAAAACAGAAAGAUUAAAGAGAAUCAUGCCUAGACAUAUCAUAAUCAAACUGCU
Molecule: long non-coding RNA, 1834 nt
Filed under: Homo sapiens (human)
Lineage: Eukaryota; Metazoa; Chordata; Mammalia; Primates; Hominidae
Description: HSALNT0409089
Source: RNAcentral